AGUUAGAAUCAUGUUAUGGAAUUUUGAAUUGUGAAAUGCAAGUCACACUUUAUUGCAGUACAAUCCGUUGUUUGUAAGCAGUUACAUGAACCAAGACUUCUUUGUGUUUUUGUUCAGGUGUCAGAAAAGCUGAGCUGUUUCCACCCCUCCUGUGGGAUGAGCGGUCAUGUGAUCUGCCUCGCUAAACAUUUCCUGAAGUCGGAGCCCACCCACCUCCUGCCGGUGGAGGGCAGAUGUCCGGCCUGUCAGAGCUCUGUGCUCUGGGGGAGUCUCAUCCGCCACAAACACCGCUGCUUCGGAGACCUGGAGGACUUCACCCCGUCCCUUUCCCAGAGUCACUGGGCCGAUGAACUGCAAAUAUAAGGGAGUGGAGCCCGACGUCUGAACACUUCCUUCUUAAUGGACUGUGAUCAUAGAGAAUCAUGUAUCAAUGUGCACAGAUUCUAAUCUCUCCAGGAUCCUGCCAUGUCCAAUUGUAUAUAUCUUUUUUAUUUUAAUCACAAGGUACCAUGUAUUUUUUAUGUAUUCAGUAUUUGUGGAAAAAAUCUAAGUUUUAAUGCAUUGUGUGACAAAGGAUUUGACCUAAAACAUUAUUUAGUAAGUAAUAAAGCGGGACAAGUUGAAACUAAAGAUACUGGUCUGUUGAUUGAAAGUGAUUGUGGUUAUGCAGUUAUAGUAAAUAUACAGGCCCUGUUAUGUUGUAUGGGUGUUCCCUCUCCUGUAGUGUGUGCUAUCGCUUUCUGUGCAUUUCAAUGGUCUACAGAGGCUGAACUCCUUGAGUUCCCUUCAGAGGGAGUUCCUCUCACACACACUAAAGCAUGGAGACAUGUUACAUGAAGCCGAUGUUGAGCAGAAUAGGGCCCUUUUAAUAAAGUUGUAAUGUUAGUUAGAUAAUAAUAAUAAUAACUUGAAUUUAUAUAGCGCCUUUCAUAACCUCAAGGUUGCUUUACAAAGAAACAUACAAGGACAAGUAGAUGUUAAAGGGUGCUGAUCAUUUCUAAAGAUUUCAAUUUGAAUACAUGUUUUUGUUGAUCAGUGUCACAUGUGUAGGCAAUGUGUAUCUCUAAAUGCAUUGUUGUGGGCUCUAUAACAAUUUCCAAUCCUCAAAUGAGCUGGGGAAAUCUUUGGGAUUUUUCAUUUUGUGUCCAAAUAAGGACAGGAGAGGACCUGUUAAUGGUAAUAACACAUUUUGACACUACGCGCUAUACACAAUGUCUCUUUCACAAAGAAAGAGCAGCAGCCAAACCUCCUUUACAUGUUUUUGUAUGUAUUAUUCAUUCAUGUUAGUUGCAGUAAGAAAAGACAAACAUUAUCUAGGUAGCUAUAAUCAUACAAUCUGAAUAAAAAUACUUUCAGGAAAA
Notothenia coriiceps (black rockcod) is the source of this 1361-nucleotide long non-coding RNA. RefSeq lists it as uncharacterized. NCBI's taxonomy places the organism in Eukaryota, Metazoa, Chordata, Actinopteri, Perciformes, Nototheniidae. The transcript has 2 exons. The record is from RefSeq and is a predicted model, not a curated record.